Molecule: long non-coding RNA, 664 nt
Organism: Centruroides sculpturatus (bark scorpion)
Lineage: Eukaryota; Metazoa; Arthropoda; Arachnida; Scorpiones; Buthidae
Exons: 2
Source: RefSeq, a predicted model, not a curated record
UCAUUUCAUUAUUCACACUUAAUUCCAGUUUUCAAAUAUUGCACAAUUAUUGUUGUUGCCAACAUUUUUUCCUCCAAAUCAUGCUGAUGAGAUUUGUUAAAUUGUGAUGUUUACAUGAUGUGGUAGAAUAAAACUUGCAUGUGCGACAGCUUUAGUUUCUCUCAAAUAUGAGAAUGCAGUCCAACAUUAUGAUUUGUAUUUUAUCAAUUGGUUUGACAAUGCAAUAAAUGAAAAAUCUGACAGCUUAGAUUUCUGUGACAGUUUUUGCACCUUAUUAGUGACUUUGACCACUAAUAAGGUGCAAUUUGGUCAAAUGAGACAAAUUCUUGCCUAUUGUAGUUCUGAGCAACAAAAUGUUGGUGGUAGUUUCAUGUAAACUAGUCUUUAAGACUGAUUUCUUAUGCUAAUAACUAGAAAUCAUUCCUAAAUAAGAAUUUACUUUGUUCAGCAUCAUCUAGGUUCUUAGCUAUUUUCCUCUAUUUUUAAAUGAAUUUUUAACUAGUCAUAUUUAACUUUUUAACCAUUUAUAUUUUUUAGAUUUUUCAGUAAAGUUUCUGAAACUUUUGAAAAAGCAAGGAAAUUGGAAGGAAGAGUUGCCUCUGACGAGGAUCUUAAACUAUCAGAUACAUUAAGAUAUUAUAUGAGGGAUACAGCUGCUGCUAAA